Molecule: long non-coding RNA, 1139 nt
Organism: Capsicum annuum
Lineage: Eukaryota; Viridiplantae; Streptophyta; Magnoliopsida; Solanales; Solanaceae
Exons: 2
Source: RefSeq, a predicted model, not a curated record
UACUGCUUGAACUGGGUUUUGUUUCUCGUUACUACGUGUCCAUUUCUAGUAAAACAGAUUAAAGAAAUGUAUAGUUACUUACUCAAGACUUGCAUAUUAUGGAAAAUCUUUUUGGGUUUGAGAAUCCCUUUAUCUUCACCUGCACAGCUUCCUUUAUUUCCUUAUGUUUUUGGAAUAAACUGAUGUGUACAGAGGAUUCGACCCUAUUUUCUUGGUUCAUGAAAUCAACUGAUCUUGGUUCAUGAAAUCAACUCUAUUUUCUCCUUUAUAGAUCUUGGCUCAGCAUUUUGGGGAAUGGUUUUAGUGCUUGCGUCCACCAAGCUCCUUACAGCAAGAAUUGCAGCAGGAUGUUUAGUGGCCACUCUAAUUGUUGUUCUUUUUAUGGCUAAAAAUGGGAGUGACAAUUGAUUCCUUUAAGAGCGUCUCAAACUGAUCGUGUCAAUAUAAUUAGAUUUAUAAUUAAUGGCAGAGGAUUUAUACAUUUUAAACUAAGAGCAAAGAAGCAUCUGUCUCCUUUGCAAAAGGAGGGAGACGUUUCUUAGAGUGAGCUAGUUGAUGUUGGAUCCUUUAAAUGAUAAUGGUCUUGAUAUGCAUCGUUCUGAAUCGAAGUUCAGUACCUUUCUUACUCAAAAUGUGGCAUCUCUUUUGUGCAGUGGACACUCCGUGGUCUUUGUAUAGGUAAGAUCAUUCACCCUGCAAGGUUUUUCUGCAAUAAUAAUAGCUCGGUUUGUUGAUCUUGUCCUGAGGCUGAGGAGCUGGAUACUUGACAUAAGUCAAGGGACUCCAUUUAUACAAUGUUGAAGAGCAUUCGUUUACCCUUACUUUGGUUGGCUCCUUGCUAGUUAUGGGACUGUGAAUUACUAGUAUGGUACAUUUGCCAAAUCAUUUAUGCAAGGUGGAUUACUGCAACACAAUUUACAAUACAAACAUGUUUGGUUGCAGCAGGAGGAGAAUCAGAGAACUAUAAUGCCCAAUUAUUACUCUUGGUUCUUUUCACUUGAGCAUGUAUUUCCUCACUGUGAGAGUCUCACAUACCAAAAGGAACUCAGUAUCGUACCUUAUGAAUUGUUGUUGCACAUAUCAGUUUCAUAUUGUUCAUAGAACUAAUAGCUUUCUUGUUUUGAAUAUUUUGUUAAAAA